Paramuricea clavata is the source of this 614-nucleotide non-coding RNA. NCBI's taxonomy places the organism in Eukaryota, Metazoa, Cnidaria, Anthozoa, Malacalcyonacea, Plexauridae. The record is from the annotation of a GenBank genome assembly.
GUAAAAAGAUGCACAUUUUCAAGAGGUUUUGUGGUCAAUUUCCAUACUAACAUUCCUUCAACCUAAAUACGACUUUAAUCCUAAUUUUUGUCCUGAUCCCCCAAGACCCCAGUCGUGAUAUAAAUUGUGACAUCAUUUAAGGAUAUUUUGAUGGGGAAAAAAUUUAUUUAAGUUUGUAUAAGCAGGUGUGCAAAGCUGCCUAAAAACAUUUGUAGUUGUAAGAUAUAGUUAUAAUGAAAUUAUAACAUCAAGUAUAAUUAUUGUAUAUUGAUAGAAUAGUGUUUCUAAUUUAUGAUAAGAAUAUAAUAUUAAAGUAACUGACAAGUAUUUGCUUCCAUCCAACUUACAUGCAUAAUGAGUGUUUCCAAUUUUUAAUUACCAUGUAUACUAUCUAUGUAAAAACUCUUAUUAAUGGUAUUUUCCUGUGCACCAGAAAAGAUAAAGUACCAUUAAUGGUAUUUUCCUCUGCACAGGAAAAAAUAAAAGUACCAUUAAUGGUAAAUAUUAAACAUCACAAUUUUUACUAAUUUACUAUAUGGAAAAUCUAUAGCGUUUACAAAUAAUUGCGCAAGCAAACUAAUUCAUCAUCAUACAGUUGCAAUUUUAAACUUAAU